GACGAACGCUGGCGGCGUGCUUAACACAUGCAAGUCGAACGGAAAGGCCCUGCUUUUGUGGGGUGCUCGAGUGGCGAACGGGUGAGUAACACGUGAGUAACCUGCCCUUGACUUUGGGAUAACUUCAGGAAACUGGGGCUAAUACCGGAUAGGAGCUCCUGCUGCAUGGUGGGGGUUGGAAAGUUUCGGCGGUUGGGGAUGGACUCGAGGCUUAUCAGCUUGUUGGUGGGGUAGUGGCUUACCAAGGCUUUGACGGGUAGCCGGCCUGAGAGGGUGACCGGCCACAUUGGGACUGAGAUACGGCGCAGACUCCUACGGGAGGCAGCAGUGGGGAAUAUUGCACAAUGGGCGGAAGCCUGAUGCAGCAACGCCGCGUGCGGGAUGACGGCCUUCGGGGUGUAAACCGCUUUCGCCUGUGACGAAGCGUGAGUGACGGUAAUGGGUAAAGAAGCAACGGCUAACUACGUG
RNAcentral lists this ribosomal RNA (468 nucleotides) under uncultured bacterium. Its description in RNAcentral is "partial 16S ribosomal RNA". It matches the Rfam family "Bacterial small subunit ribosomal RNA", at positions 28 to 507 of the family's 1533-position model. The record is from RNAcentral.